Molecule: ribosomal RNA, 301 nt
Filed under: uncultured bacterium
Lineage: Bacteria
Description: partial 16S ribosomal RNA
Rfam family: Bacterial small subunit ribosomal RNA
Source: RNAcentral
CAGUAGCCGCGGUAAUACGAAGGGGGCUAGCGUUGCUCGGAAUGACUGGGCGUAAAGGGCGCGUAGGCGGAUUGUUUAGUUAGGCGUGAAAUUCCUGGGCUUAACCUGGGGACUGCGCUUAAUACAGGCAGUCUAGAGUGAGGAAGAGGGUUGUGGAAUUCCCAGUGUAGAGGUGAAAUUCGUAGAUAUUGGGAAGGACACCGGUGGCGAAGGCGGCAACCUGGUCCUUGACUGACGCUGAGGCGCGAAAGCGUGGGGAGCAAACAGGAUUAGAUACCCCAGUAGUCCUGUCUCUUAUACA